CGCCCACAUCACGCUGAACACUGGAUUCCCUACGAUUACCGAAGUUAAGCAACAUCGUCUGCUUAGUACGUAGAUGGGUGACCACAUGGGAAUAUCAGGUGCUGUAAG
This is a non-coding RNA of Acanthosepion pharaonis, 108 nucleotides long. The record is from the annotation of a GenBank genome assembly. Lineage: Eukaryota; Metazoa; Mollusca; Cephalopoda; Sepiida; Sepiidae.